ACCUUGGGCAAAGUUCAGAGAACUCUUACCUCUGCUGAUGACAAAAGGCCUCUCGCUCAGAGUAAAAGGCAGACUGUAUGACGCAUGUGUACGAACAGCCAUGCUACAUGGCAGUGAAACAUGGGCCGUGACUGCUGAGGAUAUGCGUAAGCUUGCAAGAAAUGA
Long non-coding RNA from Octopus sinensis (East Asian common octopus), 165 nucleotides. RefSeq lists it as uncharacterized. The record is from RefSeq and is a predicted model, not a curated record. The transcript has 4 exons. NCBI's taxonomy places the organism in Eukaryota, Metazoa, Mollusca, Cephalopoda, Octopoda, Octopodidae.